UCCGGUUUAUCACCGGCAGUUCCCCAUGAGUCCCCGGCAUUACCCGCUGGCAACAUAGGGCAAGGGUUGCGCUCGUUGCGGGACUUAACCCAACAUCUCACGACACGAGCUGACGACAGCCAUGCACCACCUGUGAUGGUGUCCCGAAGGAAAGGUGUGUUUCCACACCGGUCACCAACAUGUCAAGCCCAGGUAAGGUUCUUCGCGUUGCGUUGAAUUAAACCACAUGCUCCGCUGCUUGUGCGGGUCCCCGUCAAUUCCUUUGAGUUUUAGCCUUGCGGCCGUACUCCCCAGGCGGGGCACUUACUGCGUUAGCGCCGGCACGGCAGGGGUCAAUACCCGCCACACCUAGUGCCCAACGUUUACUGCGUGGACUAC
Molecule: unclassified non-coding RNA, 378 nt
Filed under: uncultured bacterium
Lineage: Bacteria
Description: contains 16S-23S intergenic spacer region
Source: RNAcentral